This 279-nucleotide small RNA is filed under the name Vigna angularis var. angularis. Its description in RNAcentral is "Non-protein coding transcript". Lineage: Eukaryota; Viridiplantae; Streptophyta; Magnoliopsida; Fabales; Fabaceae. The record is from RNAcentral.
AUUCAGUGGUUGAGACUGACGCCCGUAUAGUCCUCCUAAAAUCUAAUCCAACAACAUCUUCAUUCGGAUAAGCUAAGUGAUAGUUUCUACCACUGAGCACGCCCAAUUCAAAGAGCUUCAAUGGCCCUGACGUUGAGCAGUAGUCCUUACCAUUGAGCACUCCCUUGAUAGUGAGCCCUUAUGAACUCAAGUGUUGAGUGUGUCUUGUUGUCACUGAGCACCAGUUUACUGUGUGUGUUCUGUCUUGUAGUUCUUUUUACAUUCUCAAGUUAUGUGGUU